Eriocheir sinensis (Chinese mitten crab) is the source of this 2602-nucleotide long non-coding RNA. RefSeq lists it as uncharacterized. The record is from RefSeq and is a predicted model, not a curated record. The transcript is spliced from 3 exons. Lineage: Eukaryota; Metazoa; Arthropoda; Malacostraca; Decapoda; Varunidae.
UCCAGUGUUGCCAACUCAAAAUUUACAAAUCCGCUAGGAUGGCAUGAAAAAUCCGCCAGAUUAUAGGUGAAACCAUAAAAAUUUGCCGCUAGAUUGGAGUUAAAAAUCCGCCAGUUACUCCUGUCAAUUUUAAGAUUUUUCCCGCUAGAUUUCAAACAAAACCUCUAGAUUUAGCGGGAAAACCGCUAAUUUGGCAACACUGCAUGGGUCUGAUGUGGGACCCAUAUGGGCAAUGUGGGCCACCUUGGAUCAGCUGUCAGGAGUGUUCUAAAACGUAUUUUGUGAAUUUUCUCUAAUUUUAAGGGCCAUUAUAGUUUAGAAGCCUGAAAAGUUAAAAUAAAACUUCAUUAUUAAUCUGCAUAGCACAUUAUUUUGUUGCAAAGCUGUUUAGCCCGGCCAGGGAAAAGGCGCAAACAUAAAGAGUGAGGAGAUGACAGAGACGACGAUUGUGGUGUUCCGGGUGUAGAGAGUAGUGUGUAGUUUGUGUAUUGUUCGUUUGUUUUGUCUUUUACGGGAGCUGCCGUUUCAAAGGCCUGACUCAAGAGGAAUCUUGAGUCACCUGUAACAUCAAGAUCAAGAUCAAGAAUACUCAAAAUGGAGCGGACAGAGAAGAAAGGCGGAUUUGAUUCACUUGAUUUAGCGACGAUUUUGCGACUCUUCUGACCCAAGUUUUUGCUGAGUUACCGUUCCAAAGGCCUGACUCAAGGAGAAGCUGUUGAGUCUUCUGUAAAAUCAAGAUCAAGCGGUUUUUGGAGGGAAAAACACCAGAACCAGAACCAAGGAAACUCCUCCACUCACUGGCCUCACUCCACAUCCACAGUAUCUGACCUCCUGAGUGGUAACCAAGACCCUGGCCUGGCCUUCAAGAUCCUAAAACUCACCAGAACCUUUCUCAUCUAAUACUAACAGUAUGAUGUGUGUGGAUGUGUUUCGUGUGGUGUAGUACAUUAUGGUUCAGCCAUGGCGGACCGUGCAGUUUCAGAUCAGCCAAGGCGGUCUUCAUCUAGUUCAGAGAGAUAACGGCCCUGCGGGGAUGAUGAGAGGCCUGGACAUAUGAGAAAGAAGUGAGCCACGUCCUCUAGCCUUCCGAGCUCACUGCAUGACCUGCCAGCUGGUGCUCUUCCUUGCCAAGGCGGGAAGGUAAACAAUGAGCCGGGCUCGUCCACGGGCGGUGACUUUGGCCGGCUUACGGUUUUGUUGAGUGAUCUGGUCAACAAACUUGACAGUGGGGCCCAGCAGGUUAGUGCUCCACCUUUCGGUUCUUCUGACUUUAGUGGUUUUCAUGAGCUGUCCGACUCAGAAGUGGAUUGUGCGUCGCCUGUGAGCGGGCGGGAUCAGCUGAUCUCCCCAGACCCUGCACUAGGGAUGGGCAAGUACCGUUAAUUUGAGUACCGGUAGUACCGAUACCGAAAACUUUGGUACCGUUAGUACCGGUACCGGUACCCGAAGGAGUAUUUUUUUUUUAUUUGACUGAUGAAAUUCCCAAAUAAAUUUCCUGUAAAGAAAACUCUCUCUCUCUCUCUCUCUCUCUCUCUCUCUCUCUCUCUCUCUCUGAAUGAAGUGAAUAUUUAUUUUUUCGAUAAAAAAAUAGCAUGUAUAGUUAUUAUGGAUAUACUCGAUCAUAGUCUAAUAACAAUAACAAUAUUUAUUAGCAACCUAAAAAAGAAAAAGAAUCGGACAUGAAGAAUUAUCCAGUAACUCCAGUAAAUAAAUAAAAUAAUGGAAACGGGAGCUGUGAUGGAAACGGAAAGCAGGACAAAAUGGUGGGAACUUGGGGGGACAACUCAGCGUCUCCAUACAGGGCCCUUACCGCGUGAUACCACAUGAGGCGGGCAGGCGAGCGCCGAGCGUCACUAAGAUCCAGACGGUACCGGUACUAGCGGCAAUGCGCAGUGCCGAGUGAUCAUGACGCUUCCCGGCACCCAAGUGAUCAUGAGGCUUCGCGGUACCUGGUACCUGGUACCGCGAGGAAUCGAUUCCUCGCGGUACCUGGUAUCCCCCCCCCACCACCACCACCAACAACAACAACACUACCACCGCCACCAUCACCACCACCACCAUGACCAUCACCACCAUUAUCAUGCACCACCACCACCACCAUCAUCACCACCACCACCACCAUCAUCACAACCACCACCACCUCCUUCACCACCACCACCACCAGCAUCACCACCAACACCACCACCACCAACACCAACAACAACACCAUCACCACCACCAUCACCACCACCAUUAUCAUGCACCACUACCACCACCAUCAUCACCACCACCACCACCAUCAUCAUCAUCCCCACCACCAUCAUCAUCCCCACCACUAUCAUCAUCCCCACCACCACCACCAACAACAACAUCAUCAUUACCAUAACCACCACCACCACCAUCAUCACCACCACCACCACCAUCAUACACCACCACCACCAUACACCACCACCACCAUCAUCAUACACCACCACCACCACCAUCAUCAUACACCACCACCAUCACCACCAUCAUCAUACACCACCACCAUCAUCAUCACCACCACCACCAUCAUCAUCACCACCACCAGCAACAACAACAACAACAACACUACUACCACCACCACCACCACCACCACCACCAC